UACGUAGGUGGCAAGCGUUGUCCGGAUUUACUGGGCAUAAAGGGAGCGUAGGCGGAUAUUUAAGUCAGAUGUGAAAUACCCGAGCUUAACUUGGGUGCUGCAUUUGAAACUGGAUAUCUGGAGUGCAGGAGAGGAAAGUGGAAUUCCUAGUGUAGCGGUGAAAUGCGUAGAGAUUAGGAAGAACACCAGUGGCGAAGGCGACUUUCUGGACUGUAACUGACGCUGAGGCUCGAAAGCGUGGAGAGCAAACAGG
RNAcentral lists this ribosomal RNA (253 nucleotides) under uncultured bacterium. RNAcentral's name for it is "partial 16S ribosomal RNA". It matches the Rfam family "Bacterial small subunit ribosomal RNA", at positions 524 to 776 of the family's 1533-position model. The record is from RNAcentral.